Molecule: ribosomal RNA, 453 nt
Filed under: uncultured bacterium
Lineage: Bacteria
Description: partial 16S ribosomal RNA
Rfam family: Bacterial small subunit ribosomal RNA
Source: RNAcentral
AGCGAACGCUGGCGGCAGGCCUAACACAUGCAUGUCGAACGCCUGUAGCAAUACAGGAGUGGCAGACGGGUGAGUAACACGUGGGAACGUGCCCUUCGGUUCGGAAUAACUCAGGGAAACUUGGGCUAAUACCGGAUACGUCCGCGAGGAGAAAGAUUCAUCGCCGAAGGAUCGGCCCGCGUCCGAUUAGCUAGUUGGUGGGGUAAUGGCUCACCAAGGCGACGAUCGGUAGCUGGUCUGAGAGGAUGAUCAGCCACACUGGGACUGAGACACGGCCCAGACUCCUACGGGAGGCAGCAGUUUGGAAUAUUGGACAAUGGGCGAAAGCCUGAUCCAGCGACGCCGCGUGGUGGAUGAAGGUCUUCGGAUUGUAAACACCUUUUGGCAGGGAACAAUUUUUGAGCGUACCUGCAGAAUAAGUGGUUGCUAACUCUGUGCCAGCAGCCGCCGUAA